Molecule: long non-coding RNA, 5744 nt
Filed under: Xyrichtys novacula (pearly razorfish)
Lineage: Eukaryota; Metazoa; Chordata; Actinopteri; Labriformes; Labridae
Source: RNAcentral
UUACUUUGACUUAUGGAGUUUCUAACUGGUUGAGAAACAGAUUAUAACUAGCACUAAUGCCGCUUUGUGUCCUUCAAAAAUAAACAAAUUCAUCAGAAACAAGUCUAAUUUAGUCAUUUUAUUGCUAAAGUGGCCUAAAAAAAGCCUUUUUAGACUUUAUACACAACAAGAUGUGUUAUGUGUCUGAGAAUUGUUAUUCAUAUGCGCAGGGUGAUAGAUAAGAGGUAUCACGUUGUCCACAGGGGGGCGCCAAAAAUCACCACAAACUAAAAGUUCCUCACAGCAGCUUUAAGAAGUUGGAAACUUCUGUCACGUCUUUUCUCAAUCUCAACUAUGUUUGCAAGCUUGUCCAGCUACGCAGGCAGAAUAAAGUUGGUUGGAGAAACUUUAUUUGAUUAUUUACUGCUAGAAAUUUAAAAAAGCUGCUUGCUGAGCCAAAAAAACAAAAAAACAAUGAGUUAAAAAAAUGCUAAAAUACUUUGUGACAGCAGAGAAACAGCAAAAUACAUGGACUACUCUCUAUCAGUAUAAUCAGCACCAUGAGACAUAUCACACAAAAGUAGUGAUAUGAUCCAAAAUUAUGAUUUUUUUUUAAGUGUUUAUCAGUUUUAAGUUUCUGGCAGCAGGUUAAAGUUAAAAAUCUGAGAUAACAGAAAAUUAAGCAACAAAAUCAGUGUUUUCCUCGCGGCAUUUUGAAUCGUGUUUAAUCAGAGCAGGUCGAGGUCAGCUCUAAUUUACCAAUGUGGCUGAGUUAGUUUAGUGUUGCUGACUCUUGCCCAACAGUGUGUGUGUAUGAGUGUAUUUCUGGAUGUGUGUUUGUGUGAAGGCCGGUCCAGUGGCCGUCUGGGUAGCACAUGGCUGUCCGAUACAUGGUCUCUGCUCCCUGUACUCUCCUCAUUAGCCUCACACAGCGCAGCCAUUCCCCUCUCUCACCCCCACCUCCUCUCCCUCUCUACCUUCCACUCACAGUUACACACACAAGGGGAAGAGCGAAUCUUUUGUUUUCUGUGUCCGACCUGGGUUCCAGCCCUCCUCCUCCUCCUCCUCCUUCUCCUCUCCUUCACCGACUAAAUCUCUUUUCCGGCUUGAUACUGCUGAAAACCAUAUGGUGUGUGACAUCAUCAGGGCAGGAAGCAGUCGAGAGGGGAAUGGUAGAGAGCCGGAGAGAGAUUGGCUUGCCAGGUUUCUGUGCAGUGAUGUCAGCAGAAAAGCACUCUGGGAGGCCCUUUGGGGGGGUGAGAGCAGAGCAGGUUGGAAACUUUAUCUCUUUUUUUUUUUAUUUCACUCCCACCUGGAUAAUCAGCAGCUGAAGAAGUGCAUGUAUAGAGGCAACAUUUACCUCAGAGGUGAUUUUUAUAACUCGUAGGGUCAUGAACUUGUUGCUUUAGUGUGUCAGCUCUACAUCCAUGUGCAGGUGCUGCGGGAUCAAUCCCAAAAAAUGUCCAUUUCCGAUUGUUCCUGUGAUGCUUAAAACUUCUGCAGAUCAUCUAACUACUUCUUCCUGGCAGUCCCAAUCUGCUCACCAGGCUUUAUGUCUGUCAUAACCCUCCCUGCCUCCCUCCUCCUUUUGUUCUCUGGGUGAACUCUCCAGCUUUGUUGUGCGAUCCUGGUCUCCAUACCAUCACCAGAGACCCAAUCCAGCUCUCUAUCAGCACACACAGACACACACAUAAACACUCAGUCCGCCACUCACAAAGUCAGCAUCUUUCUCCUUCGCACACAAACACACAUGCACUGAAAUACCCUCACUGAUUAAUGGCAGAGCUGGGGAGAGUGCCAGGCAAGGAGGGGAGGCAUUAGAAGAGGGGAAAAGAGAGGAGAGGAAGGAGGAGAGGCUGCUGCAGCUGUGGUUUUGGAGUCGGUCUCUGCGCCCCCUUGCUGCCCCCUCUCUCCAUCUCCUCUCCAGCUCCUCCAGGGACACACGCCUUGGCCAGGCCCCAGGAACCAGGGAGUCAGGACCAGGCUAAAGGGGGAGAAAAAGGGGGAACAAGAGAGGGAGGGAAAGAUAUCACAAAAGAAAGAGAAAAACAGAGCUGACCUAAUGCGAAAGUAUUGUCAGGCAGCACCUACAUAAACAGGAGAGUGCAUGAGAUGUUCCUCAAAGGUUUUCACGGGCAGAGCGGUACAAAGCAUCAGAUUUCCAAAAACACUUGAGCCCGUUUAAGUUUGUUUUAGUAUUUGAUACUGGUGCUGUCAUUUGGUUUUAUAUUGCUAAGAAAUCAGGACUCGGUUUUAUUUUGGUUGGAAAAACAUUUCUUCUAGUUAAGAAUCUUACAUAAUGCUUGAGUGGGUGAAAAAGUUCUUUUAUAUCUGUUUAAAGUUUUCGGAAAGCAAUCAAUUCAUCAAAUGCCCUAAAAAGGGAUAAAAAGAGUAGAUAUGAGUGUUGUAGGCCUGUUUGAGCCAGUCAGUUCCAUUUUUGUUCAUUGGUUCAUUAUUGCAUGACGUACCUGCAAACACACUUACUAUAGACCUGCAAGAAGAGCGCGGCUUAUGGCGCAUUCUUCUACAUGCUAAAACUGACAAGCUUGUUGCGUACUAAUCAUAUGCAAUAAAUCCUGCAUGAAAGUGUAGACCUUGCAGAUCUUGACUGUACUCAGGAAGGGAAAAAACAUAAUAUGCUGUAAAGCAACAUGAGAGCUCUUUUGUGGUGAUCAUUCAUAUUACUUAUACUUAUUUUUCAGAUUUUUGGUUGGACUAUAAACAAAGGCGAUGAUCAGAAAUCAAAGUCUUGGUGGAGUGUCUUUAAUCACUGAGCACAGGCUGUACCAGAAGCCCUCAACCGUUGCCCACGAUCAGAGAGCCAGUCAUCCAACCACAGCUGAUGGGAUCCGAGUGUUUUUCGCUCAAGAAUGGCAAAGUAAGUUCCCAUUCUUGCAUCGCUCUGUGUCAUUUACCUACUUUGUCAUAUCGUAAUUGUUAUUUUCAAAAAAUGUGCUUUGCCGAAUUUUAUAGUCUUGUAUGAAUUUGCAUAGUAUCCUAUGUAUCCUAUCAUAUGUUGUCAUUUUAUGUUGUUUAUGAUAUAUCUAACUGUAUUUUACAGUACCAUGAUUGUUCUUUCCUGUAUUGUACCUUACCACACCUUUUAUUUAAGUAUCUAUAUCUUCAUCUUAUUGCGUCGUUCAGUGUCAUUUAUCUAUUUGUCAUAACGUAAUUGUUUUUUCCAAUAAUGUGCUUUGCCAAAUUUUAUAGUCUUGUUUCACUUUGUAUCGUAUCGUAUCAUAUCAUAUCGCAUCGUAUCAUAUCAUAUCACAUUGUAUCGUAUCAUAUCAGAUCGUAUUGUAUUGCAUUGUAUCAUAUCGUAUCGUAACAUAUUGUAUCGUAUCGUGUUGUAGUGUAUUGUAUUGUAUUGUAUUGUAUUGUAUUGUAUUGUAUCUUUUCGUGUCAUUUUGUGUGGUUAAUGACAUAUUCUGCUUUUUUUUUACAGUACCAUGACUGUUCUAUCCUGUAUUGUUCCUUAUCACAUCUUAUGGUCUUAUCUCUUAUGGUAUAUCUCUUUGUAUCAUAUUAUAUUGUAUUGUUUCCAAAGUCCCUUAUCACUUUUUAAAAAAGGAUUAGGAGUGCAGAUGAUGAAACGGAAAAUGACUAAUUUCACAGAUAAGACUCAGAUAAGAGAGAUUAUGAAUGAAAAAUGAAACCGCACAGAAGAUGUGAUCUUUGUCAUGGUUGGUGGUUUUUUUUGCUAAGGCUCAUUUUAAUGAAACAUGAGAUAGGCUUAUUAUGCUAACUGUGAUGUGUUAACCUGUGGUUUUAAUGGUAGCCUGACUUUAUUCAGGAUGUUUAGCUUCCUUGUGCAUGCUGGAACCCAAAGUGUGAUCUGGCCGCUCACCCCCACUGCCCUGCACUCCUGGGUAAGUGUGCAUUUGAGGCCCUCUCUCUCUCGCUCUCUCUCUCUCUGUUUCCCCCUCUACUCUCAGUGUUUUAUGGGCUGUGUGCUGCGGUGCAGUGACCUCCCUCUCACCCCGGUGCCACCCAGCCGGUGCAGGAUUCAGGCGUGCACAGCCCCUGCCAAAACCCCAUAGCGCCACAUCUGCAAUCUAUAAACGCCAGCCACUCUCGCUCUCCUGCUCCCUCGCCCACACCGCCUCUGACUCUCACACUCCUCCAUUUCACUCUCUCUCCCUCUCUCACCCUCUAACUUUUUAUUAUAAUAUCCAAAUUCUAUGCGUCCCCCUUUUCUUUUGCAUUCCUUUGACUCCUUCCUCCCACCACUUCUGGUUUCUAUUCAACAUCGACUGGCUCUUCUCUUAUCUCUUACUGCCCUCUUUUUCUCCUCCUUCCGUUUCUACAUCCACAUCCAACGGAAAAAUCUCUCACCCAUUAUAUCUUCACUGGAAGCCAGCUAAGUGUGGUGGCAGAGAACUGGGAACCACAAGACAUUCCUGAUCCAAACAGCACUAAGUCACCAGCGUUCACGUCCUGUGACGCUGCCAAACACACACUUCACUUAUGGGCUGGAUGCAGCUUUACCACGUCGCAGUUGUAGUCCCCAAACAGCUCAAUGUUUAUCUGUUUCAAAUUGAUAGUGUCAGGGAAAAAUGCAUCCAAACGCAGAGCCAUUUUUUGUCCAUGUGUUACUUUAAGCAUUCUCCAUCAAGGGGGUAUUGAAUUCCCCCUCCCCUUGCCAUGAACUGUUGGCCAGCAGAGCACACACACCCCUCCCCUCAGCUUUAACAAGAUGUGUUCAACACAUCACUGUAACUGUGCCCUUGCUUUUACACGUAAAAAAAAAAAGUAGGAAAGAAGGAAAUAAAUUGAGUGUUACCACAAAGCUGUCCAGAGCUCCCAGCUUGCCCCCCAUGGGCAAUAAAGACAUUAGUCUUUUUCAAUUGUAUUAUCUUUUUUUUUUUCUUCUUCUUCAGUUCUUUCCACUGUAAUCAAAUAAAAAUGCACAGAGUGAACUUUUGCUCCCCUCUGCUUCUUGGAUCAUGUUCUCCUCUCCAUCCCAAAGUCUUCACCUUCUGCUUUCCCAGACAUAUUGGCAUGCCUCUGCGCUGGAGUCCCAACACAGCCCGAGGAUGAAUCAUGUUGCUGCGAGCGUACAAGAGCGCUGUUUUAUGAUAAAUAUUGCAAUUCAUAAAUCUGUAUUUUCCAGAGUAAGAAAGCACGGGGCAUGAGAGGACGCACGUCAGAGGAGCGAUUUAGCCUCGGUCGAUGUUCUGACUGGAGGGAGUGUGUGCGUAGUCUGGAGCUGACAAGAAGGCCUCAGGUCGGGGCAAGACCACCUUUGGAGGGGCAUAUUCUGCUGGUAGUGGGUGAAGUAGAUAAAUCCUCAUACUUUUGGUUGUUAUUUGAUUUUUGGCGCACAUCUUGUAGAAUCUAUCACCUGAUAACACAUAACAGGAAAGUGUAGAUAGCAAGUGUAAAUGGAAAUUCCUGCUUUCUUCGCUCACUCAACCUCACACUGAUGCCAUUCAGCCUGAAAUAGCUGGAAUGAGUUCGGAGGAGGUGUUUCAGACUGUUUUAUUUUAUCCGAGACUGGUGAUUCAUUAAAUUUUGAUAGUUCACUGAGGCAGAUUCAUGAAAAAGAUGACAUAAAUAAACCUGACUGCUGCUGUGAGUGACAAUCUUCGAGGCUAUGAGUCAUUUAAUGAGAAAUUAUGACGAAUCCUCUGAGAAAUUUGGACCUUUUUCAUGAUUUAGCUUCCUCUGGAUCUGAAUAGUAGUCUGUUUUUUUGUGUUUUUUUAAUGAGGCUACAGACAGGCUUUGAGACGUAUGUUGUAGAGGUAUAAUGUGAUCGUUUCAC